RNAcentral lists this ribosomal RNA (498 nucleotides) under uncultured bacterium. Its description in RNAcentral is "bacterial SSU rRNA". It matches the Rfam family "Bacterial small subunit ribosomal RNA", at positions 8 to 499 of the family's 1533-position model. The record is from RNAcentral.
AGAGUUUGAUCCUGGCUCAGGAUGAACGCUAGCGGCAGGCCUAACACAUGCAAGUCGAGGGGCAGCACGAUUGAGCUUGCUUAAUUGGUGGCGACCGGCGCACGGGUGCGUAACGCGUAUGCAACCUACCUUAUACUGGGGUAUAGCCCGGAGAAAUUCGGAUUAAUCCCCCAUAGCAUUAUCGAUUCGCAUGUUUUGAUAAUUAAAGGUUACGGUAUAAGAUGGGCAUGCGUCCCAUUAGCUAGAUGGUGAGGUAACGGCUCACCAUGGCGACGAUGGGUAGGGGGCCUGAGAGGGUGGUCCCCCACACUGGUACUGAGACACGGACCAGACUCCUACGGGAGGCAGCAGUGAGGAAUAUUGGUCAAUGGGCGCAAGCCUGAACCAGCCAUGCCGCGUGCAGGAACACGGUCCUAUGGAUUGUAAACUGCUUUUAUUCGGGAAUAAACCUCUUUACGUGUAGAGAGCUGAAGGUACCGAAUGAAUAAGCACCGGCUA